This 429-nucleotide ribosomal RNA is filed under the name Chloroflexota bacterium. Its description in RNAcentral is "Chloroflexi bacterium partial 16S ribosomal RNA". It matches the Rfam family "Bacterial small subunit ribosomal RNA", at positions 355 to 776 of the family's 1533-position model. The record is from RNAcentral. Lineage: Bacteria; Bacillati; Chloroflexota.
UGGGGAAUAUUGCACAAUGGGCGCAAGCCUGAUGCAGCCAUGCCGCGUGUAUGAAGAAGGCCUUCGGGUUGUAAAGUACUUUCAGCGGGGAGGAAGGGAGUAAAGUUAAUACCUUUGCUCAUUGACGUUACCCGCGGAAGAAGCACCGGCUAACUCCGUGCCAGCAGCCGCGGUAAUACGGAGGGUGCAAGCGUUAAUCGGAAUUACUGGGCGUAAAGCGCACGCAGGCGGUCUGUCAAGUCGGAUGUGAAAUCCCCGGGCUCAACCUGGGAACUGCAUUCGAAACUGGCAGGCUAGAGUCUUGUAGAGGGGGGUAGAAUUCCAGGUGUAGCGGUGAAAUGCGUAGAGAUCUGGAGGAAUACCGGUGGCGAAGGCGGCCCCCUGGACAAAGACUGACGCUCAGGUGCGAAAGCGUGGGGAGCAAACAGG